Molecule: ribosomal RNA, 200 nt
Filed under: uncultured bacterium
Lineage: Bacteria
Description: partial 16S ribosomal RNA
Rfam family: Bacterial small subunit ribosomal RNA
Source: RNAcentral
GACGAACGCUGGCGGCGUGCCUAAUACAUGCAAGUAGAACGCUGAAGAGAAGAGCUUGCUCUUCUUGGAUGAGUUGCGAACGGGUGAGUAACGCGUAGGUAACCUGCCUGGUAGCGGGGGAUAACUAUUGGAAACGAUAGCUAAUACCGCAUAAAAUUGAUUAUUGCAUGAUAAUUAAUUGAAAGAUGCAAUUGCAUCAC